GUAGGUGGCAAGCGUUGUCCGGAAUUAUUGGGCGUAAAGCGCGCGCAGGCGGUUCUUUAAGUCUGAUGUGAAAGCCCACGGCUCAACCGUGGAGGGUCAUUGGAAACUGGAGAACUUGAGUACAGAAGAGGAAAGCGGAAUUCCACGUGUAGCGGUGAAAUGCGUAGAGAUGUGGAGGAACACCAGUGGCGAAGGCGGCUUUCUGGUCUGUAACUGACGCUGAGGCGCGAAAGCGUGGGGAGCAGACAGGAUUAGAUACCCUGGUAGUCCACGCCGUAAACGAUGAGUGCUAAGUGUUAGGGGGUUUCCGCCCCUUAGUGCUGCAGCUAACGCAUUAAGCACUCCGCCUGGGAGUACGGCCGCAAGGCUG
RNAcentral lists this ribosomal RNA (370 nucleotides) under uncultured organism. RNAcentral's name for it is "partial 16S ribosomal RNA". It matches the Rfam family "Bacterial small subunit ribosomal RNA", at positions 527 to 896 of the family's 1533-position model. The record is from RNAcentral.